AAACAUGUCUUUAUGCAAAUUAUGUAAAGUCUAGCCUGCCCACUGAAAGACAUUGAAGGGCCGCGGUAAUUUGACCGUGCGAAGGUAGCAUAAUCAUUAGCCAUUUAAUUAGUGGAUGGAAUGAAGGGUUGGAUGAGGGAUAAGCUGUCUUUUUAACAUAAUUUGAAUUUUACUUUUAAGUGAGAAGGCUUUAAUAUUAUAAAGUGAAGAUAAGACCCUAUAAAACUUUAUAGCUAAGGCUUAUGUUCGUUGUAUUGGGUAAAAAAUAAUAUAGAUAUAGGCUAUUUUGUUGGGGCGACAAGAAUAAAAUUUGUAUCUGUUCGUUUAAUGUGUUAAUGAUAAUUAACUUAUGAUCCUUUAGUAGAGAUUAGAAGAUUAAGUUACUUUAGGGAUAACAGCGUGAUUUUCUUUGAGAGUUCUUAUCGACAAGAGUAGUUGCGACCUCGAUGUUGAAUUAAAAUUAUUCUAACAAGUGCAGCAGCUUAUCUAGUAGGUCUGU
This 499-nucleotide ribosomal RNA is filed under the name Palaemonella disalvoi. RNAcentral's name for it is "partial large subunit ribosomal RNA". It matches the Rfam family "Archaeal large subunit ribosomal RNA", at positions 1903 to 2649 of the family's 2987-position model. Lineage: Eukaryota; Metazoa; Arthropoda; Malacostraca; Decapoda; Palaemonidae. The record is from RNAcentral.